Molecule: ribosomal RNA, 346 nt
Filed under: uncultured bacterium
Lineage: Bacteria
Description: bacterial SSU rRNA
Rfam family: Bacterial small subunit ribosomal RNA
Source: RNAcentral
GACGAACGCUGGCGGCAUGCUUUACACAUGCAAGUCGUGCGGCAGCGCGGGGGCAACCCUGGCGGCGAGCGGCGAACGGGUGAGGAAUACAUCGGAACGUACCCCGGAGUGGGGGAUAACCCAGCGAAAGUUGGACUAAUACCGCAUAUGCUCUGAGGAGGAAAGCAGGGGACUUCGCAAGAGGCCUUGCGCUCUGGGGAGCGGCCGAUGUCCGAUUAGCUAGUUGGUGGGGAAUGGCUCACCCAAGGCGACGAUCGGUAGCUGGUCUGAGAGGGAUGAUCAGCCACACUGGGACUGAGACACGGCCCAGACUCCUACGGGAGGCAGCAGUGGGGAAUUUUUGGAC